Long non-coding RNA from Gasterosteus aculeatus aculeatus (three-spined stickleback), 964 nucleotides. The record is from Ensembl. Lineage: Eukaryota; Metazoa; Chordata; Actinopteri; Perciformes; Gasterosteidae.
AAGUCCCAUGUUUUUCACUUCACAUGUCUCAUAUUUAUAUAACAUAUAUCUGAUAUUUAUCUUGUUCAUCGAGGGGAGGAAACAGUCCUUCAUCGUUGUUUCUUCUCCUCUGUAGCCUCUUAAAUGAAAAGCUGGGGGGAAGUAAUCAGGAGGACUUGGAUGGAAUUGUCUGUCAUCCAUUCAACGCUCUGGACACAGGCGCUGAUUAUAAAAUGAAAAGGACACAACGUGUGAAAUGAAACAAAAAAAAGACUUAAAGCAGCCAAACUGGGACAUGACGAAGAGCUUGGAGGGUUUGUAGGUGUUGGCCAGCAUACGUGUCGGUGUGCAGCAGGGAUCAAUAGUUUCGGACCUGCUGAUGCUGGAUGAAGCUGCCUGGAACAUUUGAAAUUCAAAGCUGGCCGUCGCUUCCAGACACAAAUACGCCACAGCAAGAGUAAGCCGCCCGGAAGCUGUCUGAUGAAAUUAUGAAAAGAAUAUUCAUAGGAGAAAAUGUGUCUACGAUUGUCACCCUGACUAACAAAGAAUAAACGAAACCAAAAACAUGUGAAUAAAAUAUCAGUUGAAGACGCAAACGGACAGAAAGAACAAGAAGCGAGAUGGUAAGGCGACGGCCGUUGUGGGGGAGCUAAUUACUUCUGUGGCUGAUGAUUUCCCAUCAUGGCCGCCUGAGGCCCACCGAGGACAGAAUUGACAACGAUGCGUCAUGUGGCACAUGGCUGAGCUGGUCGCCCUGAGAGCGAGCAGGGAGAGGACCUCUCCAAUGGAAGCCUGUCCCUCAAUUGCAUUGCCAGUGAAGCCGGGACACGGACACGCGUGUGAAUAUCCACCUAUCACACCACAAAAAUGUCUCUUUAAUCUUUAAUUCGCAGCAGGUUUGAAACCACCUGCACAAUGAGCAGCACGUGUCCCGUCCUUUAUGACGAGAGAGAAACCAUCGGGAGACACAUCCUGUCAUUUAAGA